This 555-nucleotide ribosomal RNA is filed under the name Apiospora arundinis. Its description in RNAcentral is "eukaryotic LSU rRNA". It matches the Rfam family "Eukaryotic large subunit ribosomal RNA", at positions 74 to 654 of the family's 3401-position model. Lineage: Eukaryota; Fungi; Ascomycota; Sordariomycetes; Amphisphaeriales; Apiosporaceae. The record is from RNAcentral.
AUUCCCCUAGUAACGGCGAGUGAAGCGGGAACAGCUCAAAUUUGAAAUCUGGCCCUUGGGUCCGAGUUGUAAUUUGCAGAGGAUGCUUUUGGUGCGGUGCCUUCCGAGUUCCCUGGAACGGGACGCCUUAGAGGGUGAGAGCCCCGUACGGUUGGCCACCAAGCCUGUGUAAAGCUCCUUCGACGAGUCGAGUAGUUUGGGAAUGCUGCUCAAAAUGGGAGGUAUAUUUCUUCUAAAGCUAAAUACUGGCCAGAGACCGAUAGCGCACAAGUAGAGUGAUCGAAAGAUGAAAAGCACUUUGAAAAGAGGGUUAAAUAGCACGUGAAAUUGUUGAAAGGGAAGGAUUUAUGACCAGACUUUUUCUGGGGGGAUCAUCCGGUGUUCUCACCGGUGCACUUCCCCCAGUUGAGGCCAGCAUCGGUUUCUGCCGGGGGAUAAAAGCUUUGGGAAUGUGGCUCCUUCGGGAGUGUUAUAGCCCGUUGCAUAAUACCCUGGCGGGGACCGAGGUUCGCGCAUUGCAAGGAUGCUGGCGUAAUGGUUAUUAAUCACCCGUCU